Molecule: non-coding RNA, 1838 nt
Organism: Poecilia reticulata (guppy)
Lineage: Eukaryota; Metazoa; Chordata; Actinopteri; Cyprinodontiformes; Poeciliidae
Source: RefSeq, a predicted model, not a curated record
ACGACUCCGCGCUCCAUGAGGCGUCUACGUAUUGACGUCUAUGGCUGCAGCAGCCAGGCAGAAGCUGCCUAACUGAGCUGCUGGGAUCUGACUGACUGUGUACCAGACGUUGAGUGUCUCACACUGUCUUGUAGCAGAAGCUGCCUAACUGAGCUGCUGGGAUCUGACUGACCGUGUACCAGACCUGAUCGGUGAGUGUGUCUCACGCUGCCUUGUAGGAACAAACUGACGCAGAUCCUGAUUCCAGUGUGAUUGACCCUGUAACACAUGUCCACUUAACCCAUUUGCUUUGUUCACUGCAAACCUCUGGAGGUACACAGGAGCCAAAACAACAACUAAUCAACAUUUGUGCAAUAACGACUAACACAUACUCUCCCUUGCUUACCAUAUAGUUCCUAGCAAGCGUGUUUUGCACCUCUAGUACAUUUGUCACAUUGGAUCCACAUUAUUUGAUGAACUCUUGUCAGAUUUGUAAACUGACCCAUGGUUUUUACAACCUUUUUUUAAACCUUGACUCGGUUGAUUGUAGAAACACAUUUCACCAAACAGUCUGAAAUCUAUGGAGUAUGUCUACCUACAUCUAGAGAACAUCUGUGAGCAUUGACUUGGCCAAUUAGAUUGGAGUCCGGGCUUUGACAGGACCAUUUGAUUGAAACCAUUUUACUGCAGUUUGAGUCAUAUUAUUGAAGCAAACUGAGCUGCACUCAUCUUCCCAUCAGGUCUGACCGUGUUUCCUGUCCACUGAAUGACACAGCCGAUUCUUAAGGUGUUUUUUUAAUACCCUAUGACUUAAAUUUCUCCACAGCUUUACUCCUGAUUGCUGUUACUAUGGUAAUGUGGCCUCGUUUUCCUUUUUUCAAGUUAAUUUCAUGUUUCUUACAUGGUGUUUGGAUUGUUUGUUAUAUUUUGAAGUAAUUUGCUUUUCUUAUUAGAUUUAUUUUGGGGUUUUUUUUUUUGUUUGUUUGUUGUGUCGAAUGUUUUUUUAAUUUUUGUUUUGCUUUUGAGGUGACCACUCAUACCCAGAGACGCCCACUGCAGCGGCACAGAUGUUCUCUAUUAGUUAAGCAGCCUGCAGACCAGGAAGCCGGUAAUAUAGAGGUAGCUGUGCGGUACAAGCGAGAGACGGAGCCGGACAGAUCACAGGUGUAGGAGCAGCAGGGCGGCGGGACUGGAGGACUGGUCGCCGUCGAGUAACGGACGACCGGGUGUUGGAGCACGAGUGGCCGGAUCGCCGCUGAGAUUCGCCCGUGGCCGCGGCGGGUCCUGCUGCUGGUGCCGCUUGGGAUCGGUCGGCUGGCGACGGGAGGGACUGAGCGCCGGAGAGGACCGCGCCCCCUCUUGGGCUAGCUAAGAGUCCAUCCUUCCUUAUACAGACUUAUCCAUUGACUACCGCACAUUCUUGGCUGCAUCUGGUUUUUUUGUGUGAUUAAUUUUUUAAUAAAUUCUUAACUUAUCAGUUCGUUUUUAAAUCCCUGCCCACAGACAGAAUGGCUUCAUUUAUUUCUUCCAUUGCAAUGACCAAACUACAAACCUCUGUGGAGACGUUGUGAUUUUAAAACUGGAGAAAUUGAGCUCAAUGGGAGAAAUCCCAGACAGUGCACUGAAGAGAUUAGAAAUGAGCAGAAUUGUAUUGGAAGACAAUUGCCAGAGAAAAAUGAAACACUUCAGAUGGUUUAUACAAACACUUUGAAAAUGACAAAAGGAUUUUUUUUCCCCAGAUUGUUUUUGUAAUGAUGUAAAAUUGAAUAUAUGACAAAUGACUCAUUUCCCUUCAAUUUGGGUUUGGUCUGUCACAUAAAAUACAAAUGGAAUACAUUAAAAUUUAUCGUGGAAACAUG